Molecule: ribosomal RNA, 1536 nt
Filed under: Triticum aestivum (bread wheat)
Lineage: Eukaryota; Viridiplantae; Streptophyta; Magnoliopsida; Poales; Poaceae
Description: partial small subunit ribosomal RNA
Source: RNAcentral
AUGGUCAGUAAUAGCACAACUAAAGUUUGUGAACAACAUAUCAUUAUGAAAUGGUUGGUUGGAUUGACGGCGCAGUUCCUUUCGAGGAUCAUCCCCUUCUUGUACAACGGCUGGUUCGUGCGCCAGCUCAGGGCCGACGACUGCGCGGCAUAUGCAUUGCAGCUUCCACUUUUCAUCAAUUGUGUCUUAUUUUUAAGCCGGGAGGGGUUUCGGCGUGCUUGCUUGCGUAAUAAUUCUGGGAGUGGUGAUGUGUUGAGUGACGAAGAGAUACUGAAGGUAGCUUGGAUGAUCAUCCCGUUUGGCUUGUUUGUGACUUCUAUUGGCAGUCUAUUUGUGUUCAGAAUAAAGAAACUGAAGUUAUCUGACCCUUAUGCAAAAGCUACGUUAAUCAUCGGAUUUGCGUGUAUCUUGGAGCUACUGGCAGAACCUUUGUAUAUUCUUUCCCAAACGAAGAAAUACUACAUAAUAAGAGUGUAUACUGAACCUGCAGCUACUCUGCUACGUUGCCUAACAACUUAUAUCUUCAUAAAAGGACAUAUUAAAGUGGAGAUGCUGGUCGUAUUUGCUUUGUCUCAGGUCGUCUAUGCGGCCUGCAUUUUCAUUGGAUAUUGGGCAUAUUUUCUUUUAUUUGCUAAUAUCAGAACUUUUGAUCUCCUUCCAUUCAGGUUGUCAACUCUGAUGGUCUAUGAUAAACAGUUAUUGCACAUGUGCAUAUUGUUUACAGGCCAGACUAUCAGGAAAUUGAUUCUCCAAGAAGGCGAAAAAUUUGUUCUUGUUUGGUUUGAUACUCCAUUUAACCAGGCUGCAUAUGGUCUUGUGGAUAAAUUAGGAAGUCUGGUUGUUAGAAUAAUUUUCCUGCCGUUUGAGGAGAGUUCUUAUGCUACAUUCACCCAAUUAGCAUCAGGGCAAACUCCUGAGAAUAUAUCCAAUCUGGAAGGUUCUUUGCUCGGAGCUCUUAAACUUAUUAUGCUGAUAGGUCUCGUGGUCAUUUCUUUUGGUCCAAGUUAUUCAUACACCCUUCUGAAUCUAUUAUAUGGAAGAAGAUAUAGUGAUGGCGAAGCUACAGCUGUCCUCCGUUUCUAUUGCACUUCUGAAGCUUUCCUUCAUUCUGUUGCCAAUGAAAGCCAGCUUAAGCAGUCAAACAAUAUGUUGCUCCUCUUCUCAGCAAUUUAUACUGUUCUAAAUGUUGCUUUUAUUAAAUCUGCCGGAGCUGUUGGGUUGAUUGCUGCAAAUUCUGUCAAUAUGCUACUGCGAAUCUCAUAUUCUGCAGUAUUCAUCAAUGAGUAUUUUAAGGGCUCAUUCUCCUUCUACCGCUGCUUGCCAGCGGGCUGGGGCGUUCUGCUCAUUUCUGGUCUGACCACAGCUUUCUCCGAGAGGAUGUUUCUGAAUAGAAAUAGGUUCAAGCAGACCCUUCCCAUUCACAUGGUGAUAGGCAUUAUGUGCCUGGGCUUCUCAUUGCUUGAGAUAUACCGUGGCGAAAAGCAGUUCUUGGUGAGCAUCAUCAAAUCGUUGAAGGGUCACAACAUACACACAUGA